CCCUUAGAUGUUCUGGGCUGCACACGUGCUACACUGGCAGGUUCAGCGAGCUUCAUGCCCUGAUCUGAAAGGAAUGGGAAAUCUUUUCAAAACCUGCCGUGCUUGGGAUAGAUGUUUGCAAUUAUUCAUCUUCAACGAGGAUUGCCUUGUAAGCGCACGUCAUCAGCGUGCAUUGAAUGCGACCCUGUAUUCUGUACACACCGCCCGUCGCUCCUACCGAUUGAAGUUUUCGGUGAGUUGACAGGAGGAUUUUUUUGAAACUGGUUCGCCAGUGGAUUUUAGAUCCAAAUGCCAACGAAUCGAUGGCUUUAGAGGAAGGAGAAGUCGUAACA
This 332-nucleotide ribosomal RNA is filed under the name uncultured eukaryote. RNAcentral's name for it is "partial 18S ribosomal RNA". It matches the Rfam family "Eukaryotic small subunit ribosomal RNA", at positions 1470 to 1796 of the family's 1831-position model. The record is from RNAcentral.